UUGAAAGGGAAACGAUUGAAGUCAGUCGUACCGACGAGAAAUCAACUUAUCGUGUGCGAACUUGUGGGCGUGCGUGAGUUUCGGCCUCGCUGUUUGCAUGUUUGUGCGUUUUGGGUGUACUUUUUCGUAUGGUAGGCCAACGUCAGUUUCGAUUAUCAUAAAAUGACCGGCGGAAUGUAGCUUCGAUUUCGGUUGAAGUGUUAUAGCCUCUGGUAGAUGUGGUGUUUGAGACUGAGGAUUGCAACGAAUACCCUUUGGGCUAUCCGUCUGGCCUCUGAAAGUUGCUCAGGUGCCGAAAGCGUGCUUACGGUCAUCUAAGAUAACGUUCAACAGGUUAGAACGUGAUUACAUUCGUUAAGGAUGUUG
This 366-nucleotide ribosomal RNA is filed under the name uncultured Glomeromycotina. RNAcentral describes it as "eukaryotic LSU rRNA". The record is from RNAcentral. Lineage: Eukaryota; Fungi; Glomeromycota.